RNAcentral lists this long non-coding RNA (428 nucleotides) under Panax ginseng (ginseng). RNAcentral's name for it is "long non-coding RNA (PGIN_LNC018070)". Lineage: Eukaryota; Viridiplantae; Streptophyta; Magnoliopsida; Apiales; Araliaceae. The record is from RNAcentral.
CGGUCUCUGUUCGGCCAAUUGUUUAUCUAGUUUUGGUCGUGCUUUCAGUUUGGUUGCUGCAUUGGGUUCAGAACAUAAUUUUGAUUGGCAGAGGCUAUCCGAGUAGAAGACGAGUUGAUUUCCCUUUGAUGCAUGUCUUAGUCGACGCAGAUAGACUUCCGGUGUAACUGAAUGUUGAAUCUGCCAGCCAGAUUAGACUUUAGAGUACCAUUUUUAGUGCCCAAAAAUAAAUAGAUGUAAUCUAUGUGUUAAAAGAUAUCAAAUGAUGUGAGAGUUGAAAUACAACAUAGGAUAGAUAGUGAAAGAGUGUAGGAUUAAUAUACAUGACUAAACUCAAUAGCUAAUGCCAUAAGCUUUUGAGUUCAGUUGUGCAUGGAUGUUAGUUCUUUGUAUGUUAAUGCAUAUUGUGUACUAGUAAUGAUUAAUAG